Molecule: long non-coding RNA, 107 nt
Organism: Callorhinchus milii (elephant shark)
Lineage: Eukaryota; Metazoa; Chordata; Chondrichthyes; Chimaeriformes; Callorhinchidae
Exons: 3
Source: RefSeq, a predicted model, not a curated record
GGACUGGCUGCGGGAAGUUUCACUGUGACAGUGAUCGUUGUGUUUAUACUGAGAUUAUGUGUGUAUAAGAGAGGUAAACAGACGAAUCCAAUGUACGUAACCAGAGG